AGAUUGAACGCUGGCGGCAUGCCUUACACAUGCAAGUCGAACGGCAGCACGGGAGCAAUCCUGGUGGCGAGUGGCGAACGGGUGAGUAAUACAUCGGAACGUGCCCAAUCGUGGGGGAUAACGCAGCGAAAGCUGUGCUAAUACCGCAUAAGAUCUACGGAUGAAAGCAGGGGAUCGCAAGACCUUGCGCGAAUGGAGCGGCCGAUGGCAGAUUAGGUAGUUGGUGAGGUAAAGGC
Molecule: ribosomal RNA, 236 nt
Filed under: uncultured soil bacterium
Lineage: Bacteria
Description: partial 16S ribosomal RNA
Rfam family: Bacterial small subunit ribosomal RNA
Source: RNAcentral